Molecule: long non-coding RNA, 843 nt
Organism: Amyelois transitella
Lineage: Eukaryota; Metazoa; Arthropoda; Insecta; Lepidoptera; Pyralidae
Exons: 2
Source: RefSeq, a predicted model, not a curated record
CCUACAAGGCACUCAGUGACUCAUCGGGAACACUCAUAGAAAAGGUUCCCUACACGUUUAUUAAAACUGAUAUAGACUUCUGUUGGGUUUUUGUAGAAACUUUACUAGUAUAGCGAUUACGUAAUACAGAUAGUUUGGCAUAGAUGGCGGUAUCGGUCACUAGGCAAAGAACAGAACUUCAAAUUCGGGGUGUCGUCGCGAGUUCAUUAAUUCCACAUAUUGAAAAAAAUAUAAAAGUUGUUUUAUUGGAGUUUUGGACAGUAAAAAAAUUAUUGUAGUUUUAUAAUAGUGUUCACUUUGACUCGGAUUAUGGCUAGAAAAAGAUUAUUUGAGGAAGAAAUUAUACAUUUCUUGACUAUACCAUCGGGUAGCGAAGAUGGCGAAGAUUCUUCUGCAGCCGACAGUGAUGAAGAUACUGAAAGAUUACGAUCCACUCUUAGCUUUUUGCCAGAAUCACUUAAUGACAUGGAAGCAAAUCAAUGUCCUUCUACUAAUGAAGAUACAAGUCACGAAAACAGACAUGAACCAAGCCCUCGACCCAGUACUUCGGGUGCAAUUUCAGAGCCCACUGCAGGUAUUGUUCAACCGUCACCAACAGCCAGACAAUCUUCGACUUUUGUGAGUAUUGCCACAUCUAACAGAACUAAAACCAAGGUCUCUUGCUCUCAAAGAAAAAAAAGGAAGUUCAUCUGGAAAAAGAAGUCUUUUCAACCAGUUCUGCCUCAGUUUACUGGAAACACAAUUUUACCGCCAUCGAUUUCACAAUUUGAAACACCCUUACAAUAUUUUCUAUGGUUUUUUGAUAAUGAAUUAUUAGAACACAUCACAGAAGAAAUGUACAAA